This 385-nucleotide unclassified non-coding RNA is filed under the name soil metagenome. Its description in RNAcentral is "partial contains 5.8S ribosomal RNA, internal transcribed spacer 2, and large subunit ribosomal RNA". The stretch from base 1 to 120 matches the Rfam family "5.8S ribosomal RNA", at positions 35 to 154 of the family's 154-position model. The record is from RNAcentral.
GAUGAAGAACGCAGCGAAAUGCGAUAAGUAAUGUGAAUUGCAGAAUUCAGUGAAUCAUCGAAUCUUUGAACGCACCUUGCACCCUUUGGCAUUCCGAAGGGUAUGCUCGUUUGAGUGUCAUUGUACUCUCACACUCCCAAUUGCUUUGGAUUGGGAGCGGUGGACUUGGGUGUUGCUGCUUGACUGAGGCUCACCUGAAAUAUGUUAGUGCACCUCUUGAUUGGACAUAGUACGGCGUGAUAAGUGUCUUCGCCGGCUCCUCGCAAAGAGGGUGGCCGAUCGGGAGCUCUGUUGCUUCAAACUGUCUUCGGACAAUCUUCUGGCGACUUGACCUCAAAUCGAGUAGGACUAUCCGCUGAACUUAAGCAUAUCAAUAAGCGGAGGA